AACGAACGCUGGCGGCAUGCCUAACACAUGCAAGUCGAACGAGACCUUCGUGUCUUGUUGCGCACGGGUGCGUAACGCGUGGUAACCUUCCCUUAUGUUCGGAAUAACUCCCCGUAAGGUGUGCUAAUACCGGUUAAUGUCUUCUGACCAAAGAUUUAUCGCCUUUGGAUGGUCCCGCGUUGGAUUAGCUAGUUGGUAGGGUAAAAGCCUACCAAGGCGACGAUCCAUAGCUGGUCUGAGAGGAUGAUCAGCCACACUGGGACUGAGACACGGCACAGACUCCUACGGGAGGGAGCAGUGGGGAAUAUUGGAAAAUGGGCGAAAGCCUGAUCCAGAAAUGCCGGGUGAGUGAUGAAGGGAUUAGGGUUGUAAAGCUAUUUUACCCGGGAUGAUAAUGACAGUACCGGGAGAAUAAGCUCCGGCUAACUACGUG
RNAcentral lists this ribosomal RNA (433 nucleotides) under uncultured bacterium. Its description in RNAcentral is "partial 16S ribosomal RNA". It matches the Rfam family "Bacterial small subunit ribosomal RNA", at positions 29 to 507 of the family's 1533-position model. The record is from RNAcentral.